RNAcentral lists this ribosomal RNA (51 nucleotides) under uncultured bacterium. RNAcentral describes it as "partial 16S ribosomal RNA". The record is from RNAcentral.
GGGGCGAAAGCCUGAUCCAGCCAUGCCGCGUGUGGGAAGAAGGUCUUCUGA